Paramuricea clavata is the source of this 316-nucleotide non-coding RNA. The record is from the annotation of a GenBank genome assembly. Lineage: Eukaryota; Metazoa; Cnidaria; Anthozoa; Malacalcyonacea; Plexauridae.
CCGACUUCUAUUUUUAUCUUCUUCUUCUAUUUUUAUAUUAAGUAGGCUACAUAUGCGCGUUCAGAUUUCGAUCGGUGAGAUGUUUGGCCCCAACGGCCCAAGAGUCUUGCGGGCAAGAGUAGACCAGCGAUCUGUUGAAACUGUGGAAAUGCCUCGAAUAUAGGCUCAACACAAACAAUUGACACAACGGACUCGGGCCUGUCAAUUUAUUCAUCGAAAAUGUAGGUUGCUUGUCCGGUCUGGGACGUUUUUUAUAAUUAACAGUUUUUAUUGAAUAGCAUCUGCAUGACAAUGACGGUAUUGCUGAUAUGACACA